This 492-nucleotide ribosomal RNA is filed under the name uncultured bacterium. Its description in RNAcentral is "partial 16S ribosomal RNA". It matches the Rfam family "Bacterial small subunit ribosomal RNA", at positions 30 to 507 of the family's 1533-position model. The record is from RNAcentral.
AGUGAACGCUGGCGGUAGGCCUAACACAUGCAAGUCGAACGGCAGCACAGUAAGAGCUUGCUCUUACGGGUGGCGAGUGGCGGACGGGUGAGGAAUACAUCGGAAUCUACUUUUUCGUGGGGGAUAACGUAGGGAAACUUACGCUAAUACCGCAUACGACCUACGGGUGAAAGCAGGGGAUCUUCGGACCUUGUGCGGAUGAAUGAGCCGAUGUGGGAUUAGUUAGUUGGCGGGGUAAAUGCCCACCAAGGCGAGGAUACGUGGCCGGUCUGGGUGGCUGGUAGGCGGCCUUAGAGCUGAAACACGCACCAUACGCCUGAGGGAGGCACCAGUGGGGUAUAGUAGGCAGUAGGCGCAAGUCUGAUCCAGUCAGACGGCGUGGGUGAAGAAGGCCUUGGGGUUGUAAAGACCGUUUGUGGGGAGAGAAAAGCAGCAGGUUAAUACGCAGCGGUUGUGACGGUAACCAAAGAAUAAGCACCGGCUAACUACGUG